Long non-coding RNA from Heterocephalus glaber (naked mole-rat), 397 nucleotides. Lineage: Eukaryota; Metazoa; Chordata; Mammalia; Rodentia; Bathyergidae. The record is from Ensembl.
CUGAGAACGGUUGCAGGUCCUUCCCGUAGCUCCAUCUGUGAAAGGCAGAGCUGGCAGGAACAAUUCUCAAUGCACAAGAGCCUGGGAAGCCAGGCUGAGGAGGAGCUCAUGGGAGCGGAGAGAAGAGCAGCAAAUCCCUCUGUCAACAGGAACUUCAAGGAAACCACUACAGAAGCCUAAGGUGUGCAGCCAGCUCCUAUUCUGCAGAUGAUGACUCAGAGGGAGAGAAACCUAUCACUUGCUCCAGGAUGCACAAGAUUUCCAUUCUUGCUGAAAACAUCCACAAUGUGUCUCCAGCCGAGAACACGGAGCUGAGCAGUGAGGUUGAUGCAAGGAGACCGGAAGGGACUGACAGGCACUGUCAGCAGAUCUGAAUGAGGCAGCACCUAUGGCCGAU